Helianthus annuus (common sunflower) is the source of this 548-nucleotide long non-coding RNA. RefSeq lists it as uncharacterized. The transcript is spliced from 2 exons. Lineage: Eukaryota; Viridiplantae; Streptophyta; Magnoliopsida; Asterales; Asteraceae. The record is from RefSeq and is a predicted model, not a curated record.
UUGGGCUAGGUGGCAUUUGUAUUUGGCCAUCUUGGCUGAUGUGGCAACUUGGUUUAGGAGGGAAAUCACACAAAUUCACAAUGGACACGGGAUCCAGAAAGCAUCGGGUCGGACUUUUGGAUUUGGAUCAAUCAUGAUGGAUCCUUUAUAUAUGUCUUUUUUUCUAAUUCUUCUUCCAUACUCUUCAACAAUCUUCACAACCCUAAAACCAAACCCUAGAUCAACUCAACCUUUCUGGACGUCACAGCGAUUUCUCAUCUCUCUAAUCAGAUCUUCUUCCGCUAUUGAAGAUUCAUGUUAGCAAGAAGUAUUUUGAUGAUAAGCACCGAAAAAAUUCUACCUGCACGUCUAUUAUAUAUGUAGUACUACAGAUUCGAUUCUGGCAUAAAUGUCCGAUUGAUGUUAACUUUUUUUGUAUUCUUAUUAAUUUUAUGGAAAUUGGUUGAUUAGAUCCGUGAUGACUGAACGUUAAUUUUAGUGUAAAAUGUUUGAAAAUGUUUUAGUUUUUGGAUUGCACGCAAGGUGUUUGAUGAAAUGCUUGAAUGGGA